UCCGCGUGAGUGAAGAAGGUUUCGGAUCGUAAAACUCUGUUGUUAGGGAAGAACAAGUGCCGUUCGAAUAGGGCGGCGCCUUGACGGUACCUAACCAGAAAGCCACGGCUAACUACGUGCCAGCAGCCGCGGUAAUACGUAGGUGGCAAGCGUUGUCCGGAAUUAUUGGGCGUAAAGCGCGCGCAGGUGGUUUCUUAAGUCUGAUGUGAAAGCCCACGGCUCAACCGUGGAGGGUCAUUGGAAACUGGGGAACUUGAGUGCAGAAGAGGAAAGUGGAAUUCCAAGUGUAGCGGUGAAAUGCGUAGAUAUUUGGAGGAACACCAGUGGCGAAGGCGACUUUCUGGUCUGUAACUGACACUGAGGCGCGAAAGCGUGGGGAGCAAACAGGAUUAGAUACCC
Molecule: ribosomal RNA, 399 nt
Filed under: uncultured bacterium
Lineage: Bacteria
Description: bacterial SSU rRNA
Rfam family: Bacterial small subunit ribosomal RNA
Source: RNAcentral